RNAcentral lists this RNase P RNA (360 nucleotides) under bovine gut metagenome. Its description in RNAcentral is "Bacterial RNase P class A". It matches the Rfam family "Bacterial RNase P class A". From Rfam's summary of the family: Ribonuclease P (RNase P) is a ubiquitous endoribonuclease, found in archaea, bacteria and eukarya as well as chloroplasts and mitochondria. Its best characterised activity is the generation of mature 5'-ends of tRNAs by cleaving the 5'-leader elements of precursor-tRNAs. Cellular RNase Ps are ribonucleoproteins. The record is from RNAcentral.
AGGUGAUCGCGGCUGCGAAGCGUGUAAGGAGGCCAUCGGCCGUACUGCACGGAAUGAGCAGGUGAGGAAAGUCCGGGCUUCACAGGGCAGGAUGCCGGCUAACGGCCGGCGGAGGCGACUCCCGGGACAGUGCAGCAGAAAUAUACCGCCAGGCUCCGGCCUGGUAAGGGUGGAAGGGCAGUGUAAGAGACUACCGCCGGCGCGGUAACGGGCCGGGCACAUGUAAACCCCAUCCGAAGCAAGACCGAAACGUGACAAAGGGCGGCCCGUCCAGUCACAGGUUGGUUGCUCGAGCCUGCCGGCAACGGCAGGCCUAGACAGAUGAUCACCCACGACAUAACCCGGCUUAUCGUCCCUCUG